UAGGGAAUCUUCCACAAUGGACGCAAGUCUGAUGGAGCAACGCCGCGUGAGUGAAGAAGGUUUUCUGAUCGUAAAGCUCUGUUGUUGGUGAAGAAGGAUAGAGGCAGUAACUGGUCUUUAUUUGACGGUAAUCAACCAGAAAGUCACGGCUAACUACGUGCCAGCAGCCGCGGUAAUACGUAGGUGGCAAGCGUUGUCCGGAUUUAUUGGGCGUAAAGCGAGCGCAGGCGGAAUGAUAAGUCUGAUGUGAAAGCCCACGGCUCAACCGUGGAACUGCAUCGGAAACUGUCAUUCUUGAGUGCAGAAGAGGAGAGUGGAAUUCCAUGUGUAGCGGUGGAAUGCGUAGAUAUAUGGAAGAACACCAGUGGCGAAGGCGGCUCUCUGGUCUGCAACUGACGCUGAGGCUCGAAAGCAUGGGUAGCGAACAGG
This 429-nucleotide ribosomal RNA is filed under the name bacterium. RNAcentral's name for it is "partial 16S ribosomal RNA". It matches the Rfam family "Bacterial small subunit ribosomal RNA", at positions 355 to 776 of the family's 1533-position model. The record is from RNAcentral.